This 459-nucleotide ribosomal RNA is filed under the name uncultured bacterium. Its description in RNAcentral is "partial 16S ribosomal RNA". It matches the Rfam family "Bacterial small subunit ribosomal RNA", at positions 338 to 795 of the family's 1533-position model. The record is from RNAcentral.
CCUACGGGUGGCAGCAGUGAGGAAUAUUGGUCAAUGGUCGGGAGACUGAACCAGCCAAGCCGCGUGAGGGAGGAAGGUACAGAGUAUCGUAAACCUCUUUUGUCAGGGAACAAAGGCGGGGACGUGUCCCCGGAUGAGUGUACCUGAAGAAAAAGCAUCGGCUAACUCCGUGCCAGCAGCCGCGGUAAUACGGAGGAUGCGAGCGUUAUCCGGAUUUAUUGGGUUUAAAGGGUGCGCAGGCGGUCUGUUAAGUCAGCGGUCAAAGCCCGGGGCUCAACCCCGGCCCGCCGUUGAAACUGGCAGUCUCGAGUUGGAGAGAAGUAUGCGGAAUGCGCGGUGUAGCGGUGAAAUGCAUAGAUAUCGCGCAGAACACCGAUUGCGAAGGCAUCUCACGAAUCCGCGAUUGACGCUGAUGCACGAAAGCGUGGGUAUCAAACAGGAUUAGAUACCCGUGUAGUC